AGUGGCGGACGGGUGAGUAACACGUAGGAAUCUAUCCCGGGGUGGGGGAUAACAGUGGGAAACUACUGCUAAUACCGCAUGAUACCUGAGGGUCAAAGGCGCAAGUCGCCUUGGGAGGAGCCUGCGUCUGAUUAGCUUGUUGGUGGGGUAAAGGCCUACCAAGGCGACGAUCAGUAGCUGGUCUGAGAGGAUGAUCAGCCACAUUGGGACUGAGACACGGCCCAAACUCCUACGGGAGGCAGCAGUGGGGAAUAUUGGACAAUGGGGGAAACCCUGAUCCAGCAAUGCCGCGUGUGUGAAGAAGGUCUUCGGAUUGUAAAGCACUUUUGACAGGGACGAUGAUGACGGUACCCGCAGAAUAAGCCCCGGCUAACUUCGUGCCAGCAGCCGCGGUAAUACGAAGGGGGCUAGCGUUGCUCGGAAUGACUGGGCGUAAAGGGCGCGUAGGCGGCACACACAGUCAGAAGUGAAAUUCCUGGGCUUAACCUGGGGGCUGCGUUUGAUACGUACGGGCUUGAGUUCGGAAGAGGGUCGUGGAAUUCCCAGUGUAGAGGUGAAAUUCGUAGAUAUUGGGAAGAACACCGGUGGCGAAGGCGGCGACCUGGUCCGAUACUGACGCUGAGGCGCGAAAGCGUGGGGAGCAAACAGGAUUAGAUACCCUGGUAGUCCACGCCGUAAACGAUGUGUGCUGGAUGUUGGGGGGCCUAGCCCUUCAGUGUCGUAGCUAACGCGAUAAGCACACCGCCUGGGGAGUACGGCCGCAAGGUUGAAACUCAAAGGAAUUGACGGGGGCCCGCACAAGCGGUGGAGCAUGUGGUUUAAUUCGA
Molecule: ribosomal RNA, 827 nt
Filed under: uncultured bacterium
Lineage: Bacteria
Description: bacterial SSU rRNA
Rfam family: Bacterial small subunit ribosomal RNA
Source: RNAcentral